Salvia miltiorrhiza (redroot sage) is the source of this 1980-nucleotide RNA transcript. RefSeq lists it as uncharacterized. Lineage: Eukaryota; Viridiplantae; Streptophyta; Magnoliopsida; Lamiales; Lamiaceae. The transcript is spliced from 4 exons. The record is from RefSeq and is a predicted model, not a curated record.
UGAUUUAUCUCAUUCUCUAUUCUGCCUUUUACGCCUCAAUUCUUAAGCUUGGCAAAAAUAUCAAAAUUCUCAUACUCAAAUACCGUUACAAAAUAUGAUUAGCAAUUCAUACGUAAUUCCUUCUCAAAUCUCUCACCAUGUGUCUGCAAAUCUCAUGCUCAAUCACCUGUUGUAGCAAUUGAUCAGCAGCAAAUCCUUCUAAAAUCCACCUUUUCCGCCAUCUGCAAAUCCUUCUCAAAACUCUCCCCAUCCAUCUGCAAAACCUUCUCAAAUCCCAUCUCCCACCGUCUGCAAAUCCUAAUCACAGCAAUUGAUCUCUAUCCAUCACACACACUACAGAUCUAUGGGUGCUGCAAACAAGACUCAGCCGCAACUGCACUCGGAUUCCAGUCGCCACCGCCGUCUUCACCGCGCCGGCCACCUCCCUUCCCCCGCAAGCCCUCCGAUCUGCAUCGCCGCCUCUUUCUUUCUUCAAUCAGCAGCUCCACCCCCCACCGCUCUCUCCGCCACUCCCGCAGCCUCAGCCGCUUCUCCCGCCCCAUUGCGCCGGAGCCGGAGGCCAAACGUGCCCAGGGGAAAAUUCGUCAACACCACGAGGGGCUCGACCUCGCCGGCACCAACCGCGAAUCGCCGAGCCCCUAGAUCCCCAAAGUCUCACCGCCUCUUUGUGAUUUCCGGCGACCACGGCAGCCAUGUCCGCCGAUCUGCCACCUCAUUCUUUUUCAGAUCUAUCUUUUUCAUUCUUGCUCAUGAUCACACAAUCCCCACCCCUUGCUAUCUCUCACUCGGCCAUGGAUUAGCCACCGCCGACUCCUUCUCUCUAUUAUAUAUAUAGAGAGAGAGAUAGAGAGAGCGAGAGCGAGGGAUGAAGGACGAAGCCGUGAGCUCCUCACGCGACCCGUUAUUGCCCCCGAGAUCUAUGUCUCCUCCUCCGAGCCUCACUCACGCUGCCAGUUCUGCUGGGGCAUCAUCUCCUGCUGUUCCCACAAAUGCUGGCAGCUCAGAUGGGCUUGGGCAAGUCCAGAAUUCGAAAGGAGGGUGGUCUCUUUCCCGGAUUGGUUCACAGCCCAUGCACACAUCAUUGAGCACCAGUGCUGGUGGUUCAGCCCUUGGAUCAUCACAGCCUUCUUGCAGGCCCUGGGAAAGGGGUGAUUUAUUGAGGCGUCUCUCAACAUUCAAACCAGCAAAUUGGUUUGGAAAGCCCAAGGAGUAACAUAGAUGAGUAGUGGAGAUCUGGGAGCAUCUGCCUUCCCUGACAGGGGGAGCAUAUUUACGUGGACUUGCAUAAUUUAAGGCGGCAAAGGAACCAUGACGGAUAAGUGGUGUUCAGCAUAUGAUUGCAGAACGAUUCUCUUGUCCAUCAAGAGCCUAUUAGGAGGUCAGAUGGCUCUGUUGUCUCACUUUUUCUGCUGGUUCUUUUGUAUGUAUUUAUGAGCUAUUAGGAGCUCUUUUGUCUCACUAUUAGGAGCUCUUUUGUAUGUAUUUAUGUAAUAGUUUUUCUUAUGCUCGCGUUGUAAUGAGCAGAACCCAAUACUCAGAGCCCUCUCAAUGUGUCUGCUGCUUUGCUCUGGAAGAACCAGGAAGGUUCAUAGAUUUUGCAUUUUGUUCUUGAACUCGAUCCAAUGGUGCGUAGUAUUGAAAAACGUGGUUUUUACAAAUUCUGAUUGCAGAGUACAGUAAAGCAGUGCGCAAAUAUUACAUGGAUACUGGAUAUUCAUUAGAUAACUGAUCAAAACAGCAAUAAUAAACUUCAAGAAGGAAGACCAUCUGAUCUAUCUAUGGAAAUAUUAGGCUUGGACAGUUAUUUCUUUCACUGAAAAAAUUAAGCCGUGUUAUGUUCAUCAAAAUCUAAUCAAACCAUGAUUAUGUUUGUGGUAUCUGGUCAUGUUUGAAUUUGUUUAAAAAGUUAAGUAGCUUCUAGCUUUAUAACUUCAUCUAAAAUUUCUUGUAGCACUUUUAUUAUAGACCUUAUAUUUUUAU